Molecule: ribosomal RNA, 492 nt
Filed under: uncultured bacterium
Lineage: Bacteria
Description: partial 16S ribosomal RNA
Rfam family: Bacterial small subunit ribosomal RNA
Source: RNAcentral
AGUGAACGCUGGCGGUAGGCCUAACACAUGCAAGUCGAACGGCAGCACAGUAAGAGCUUGCUCUUACGGGUGGCGAGUGGCGGACGAGUGAGGAAUACAUCGGAAUCUACUUUUUCGUGGGGGAUAACGUAGGGAAACUUACGCUAAUACCGCAUACGACCUACGGGUGAAAGCAGGGGAUCUUCGGACCUUGCGCGAUUGAAUGAGCCGAUGUCGGAUUAGCUAGUUGGCGGGGUAAAGGCCCACCAAGGCGACGAUCCGUAGCUGGUCUGAGAGGAUGAUCAGCCACACUGGAACUGAGACACGGUCCAGACUACUACGGGAGGCAGCAGUGGGGAAUAUUGGACAAUGGGCGCAAGCCUGAUCCAGCCAUACCGCGUGGGUGAAGAAGGCCUUCGGGUUGUAAAGCCCUUUUGUUGGGAAAGAAAAGCAGCAGGUUAAUACCCCGCUGUUCUGACGGUACCCAAAGAAUAAGCACCGGCUAACUUCGUG